GACGAACGCUGGCGGCGUGCCUAAUACAUGCCAGUCGAGCGAACAGACCAGGAGCUUGUUCCUCUGACGUUUGCGGCACACGUGUGUGAAACAUGUGUAUAACCCACCUAUAAGACUGGGAUAAUCUCGGGACACCGGAUCUAACCCCAUAUAAUCUACUGAACCGUAUUGUUCAAUAGUGAAAUUCGGCUUUGCUGUCACUUAUAGAUGCAUCCGCGCCGUAUUAUCUUGUUGUUACGGUAACGGCUUUCCAAGGCAACGAUGCGUAGCCGACUUGAGAGGGUGAUCGGCCACACUGGAAGUGGGACAGGGACCAGACUCCUACGGGAGGCAGCAGUAGGGAAUCUUCCGCAAUAGGCGAAAGCCUGACGGAGCAACGCCGCGUGAGUGAUGAAGGUCUUCGGAUCGUAAAACUCUGUUAUUAGGGAAGAACAAAUGUGUAAGUAACUAUGCACGUCUUGACGGUACCUAAUCAGAAAGCCACGGCUAACUACGUG
RNAcentral lists this ribosomal RNA (497 nucleotides) under uncultured bacterium. Its description in RNAcentral is "partial 16S ribosomal RNA". It matches the Rfam family "Bacterial small subunit ribosomal RNA", at positions 28 to 507 of the family's 1533-position model. The record is from RNAcentral.